RNAcentral lists this small nuclear RNA (107 nucleotides) under Salvator merianae (Argentine black and white tegu). Lineage: Eukaryota; Metazoa; Chordata; Lepidosauria; Squamata; Teiidae. The record is from RNAcentral.
GUGCUNGCUUUGGUAGCACAUAUACUAACAUUAGAACGAUACAGAGAAGAUUAGCUUGGCCCCUGUGCAAGGAUGACACUCAAAUUCAUGAAGUGUUCCAUAUUUUU